CGUCCACUUUUUUGUAAUGCAUGCAUUUUCUCCUGGUCUUUUUGUCCCGCCUCACGUGUUUUGGAAUAAUCUGACGUCGAGGUAAAAUAGAAUUAGAAGACAUACUCUUCAGGCAAGACAUGGAUGUAUGCAUAGACUUAAAAUAUUGUAUGUAAAAUUUAUUUUGGAACAUGAUGCCCUCUCAUUCAUUCAUGUCUUAUUUUCUCAUAGUUCUUUUUUUAAAUAUGUGCUGCUUCUAACUUUUUUUUUAUGUGUGAAGUGAGGUAGUGGAGAGAACUAAAAGGAGUGAAGCUAUUUAGUCCCAAUAUUAUUUUUGAUCGGGUGAUGCUAUAUAAUUUUAAGAAGGAAAUGUAUCAUUGUCUUUUGAGAAAGUAGAGUAUAGAAACAAAAUCUUAGGAAGAAAAUUAAUUAAGGGAUGUUUAGUGGUUGUCGAAGAAGACCAAAGAGAGAAUGUUUUGAUACAUGUUUUAGAAUUUAUCAUUUUAUUUGUUGUGCCAUUGCAAAGAGAGAAUGCUUUUUAUGUAUCUUUAGCUUUUCUCUAACCCAUCUAUUGUUCACCAAUGUCCCUCCUUUUUUAGUUCUGCUACUGCAUUAGGCCAUUGGCUACACCUUUGUGUGGCUUUGUUCUGAUUUUCCUUCCUCGUAUAUUGCAUGAAUAGAAUUUGGACAGUUGAGGCUGAGGUCUGUUAUUUGAAUGCAAUCCAAUUUUUUUUAAACAACCACGGUUCUUGAACUAAGAACAAUAAACAAGAUCCCAAAACGGCUAA
Molecule: long non-coding RNA, 767 nt
Filed under: Brachypodium distachyon (stiff brome)
Lineage: Eukaryota; Viridiplantae; Streptophyta; Magnoliopsida; Poales; Poaceae
Description: long non-coding RNA (BDIS_LNC000655)
Source: RNAcentral